Molecule: ribosomal RNA, 440 nt
Filed under: uncultured bacterium
Lineage: Bacteria
Description: partial 16S ribosomal RNA
Rfam family: Bacterial small subunit ribosomal RNA
Source: RNAcentral
CCUACGGGAGACAGCAGUGGGGAAUAUUGCACAAUGGGGGGAACCCUGAUGCAGCAACGCCGCGUGGGUGAAGAAGUACUUCGGUAUGUAAAGCCCUGUCAGCAGGGAAGAAAAUGACGGUACCUGACCAAGAAGCCCCGGCUAACUACGUGCCAGCAGCCGAGGUAAUACGGAGGGGGCAAGCGUUAUCCGGAUUUACUGGGUGUAAAGGGAGCGUAGACGGCAAGGCAAGUCUGGAGUGAAAGCCCGUGGCUCAACCACGGGACUGCUUUGGAAACUGGGUUGCUGGAGUGCAGGAGGGGUAAGCGGAAUGCCUGGUGUAGCGGUGAAAUGCGUAGAUAUUAGGAGGAACACCGGUGGCGAAGGCGGCUUACUGGGCUGUAACUGACGUUGAGGCUCGAAGGCGUGGGGAGCAAACAGGAUUAGAUACCCUUGUAGUC